CCUACUGGUGGCAGCAGUGAGGAAUAUUGGUCAAUGGACGAGAGUCUGAACCAGCCAAGUAGCGUGAAGGAUGACUGCCCUAUGGGUUGUCAACUUCUUUUAUAUGGGAAUAAAAUGUUCCACGUGUGGGAUUUUGUAUGUACCAUAUGAAUAAGGAUCGACUAACUCCGUGCCAGCAGCCGCGGUAAUACGGAGGAUCCGAGCGUUAUCCGGAUUUAUUGGGGUUAAAGGGAGCGUAGGUGGGUUGUUAAGUCGGUUGUGAAAGUUGUCGGCUCAACCGUAAAAUUGCAGUUGAAACUGGCAUUGUUGAGUACAGUAGAGGUGGGCGGAAUUCGUGGUGUAGCGGUGACAUGCUUAGAUAUCACGAAGAACUCCGAUUGCGAAGGCAGCUCACUGGACUGCAACUGACACUGAGGCUCGAAAGUGUGGGUAUCAAACAGGAUUAGAUACCCGGGUAGUC
Molecule: ribosomal RNA, 460 nt
Filed under: uncultured bacterium
Lineage: Bacteria
Description: partial 16S ribosomal RNA
Rfam family: Bacterial small subunit ribosomal RNA
Source: RNAcentral